UGAUUUGGCUGAUCUGGUUGGCUAGGCAGUUGUCCCUUCCCUCCCUCACUGCUCAAUGUGCAUCCCUCCCAAAGCUGUGCACUCAGUCAAAGGACAACCAUCCCCGAUAGAAGAGAAACAGUCUUCAGUCAAGGGUACACGAGUAGCUGCACUCCCCUUCUAGAACCUCCAAGGUCCAAUAUGUAUAUGUUUUAAUAUGCUAGAUAUUAUGACUGAAUUGUUACAGUAUCUUUAUCCAUGUC
RNAcentral lists this small RNA (242 nucleotides) under Bos mutus (wild yak). RNAcentral describes it as "7SK RNA (ENSBMUG00000005581.1)". It matches the Rfam family "7SK RNA", at positions 54 to 300 of the family's 331-position model. Rfam says of the family: 7SK was discovered as an abundant small nuclear RNA in the mid-70s but a possible function has only recently been suggested. Two independent studies have found that 7SK RNA binds the CDK9/cyclin T complex (known as elongation factor P-TEFb). The record is from RNAcentral. Lineage: Eukaryota; Metazoa; Chordata; Mammalia; Artiodactyla; Bovidae.